AUUUGAUGCAUUGAUUAUCCGUGCUCUCUCUAUAAGUCCGUAACACAUUCUGGUGAUUUCUCUAGUUUAGAUAGGUCAACCUAUGUUAAUUAUCAUCUAUACUGUUAUCAACGCCGUACUAAAUAUAAGCGACAUGGAGAAGCAUCUCGUGUAUCUUGUUAUCAUACAUUUUAUUCAAAUUCAAUGUCAACGUAUUUAUGAAAGUCAAAAUGAAGCAAACUUCAACAAAAAUAUCGCAGAAAUAAGACGCGAUCGCCGUGCAAGUGAUGAUUACGAAGAUGAAGGUGGCUUCAUACGCGCUCCAAAUACUGAAACGGACCACAGUUUUAUUUGGAAUGUAAUUAGCUGUCCUGAGAAAGAAGUAAGAGCCCUGUGGACCCCCAUGCAUUACUUGUGAAGAGUACAUGGAGAAAUUGAAAAAAGCCGGCCCUGGAUGUACAUAAAAUGAAAACUUAGCUUUAAUUAAUCUUAAGAAAAUUAUAAUUAAUGGCACUAUUAUUAGUCACUGGUCUAAUUAAUUAAAUUAAAAUCGGUUUUAAUUGAA
Molecule: long non-coding RNA, 544 nt
Organism: Pieris rapae (cabbage white)
Lineage: Eukaryota; Metazoa; Arthropoda; Insecta; Lepidoptera; Pieridae
Exons: 3
Source: RefSeq, a predicted model, not a curated record